This 1438-nucleotide ribosomal RNA is filed under the name uncultured organism. RNAcentral describes it as "16S ribosomal RNA". It matches the Rfam family "Bacterial small subunit ribosomal RNA". The record is from RNAcentral.
CAGGCUUAACACAUGCAAGUCGAGGGGCAGCAUGGUCUUAGCUUGCUAAGGCCGAUGGCGACCGGCGCACGGGUGAGUAACACGUAUCCAACCUGCCGUCUACUCUUGGACAGCCUUCUGAAAGGAAGAUUAAUACAAGAUGGCAUCAUGAGUCCGCAUGUUCACAUGAUUAAAGGUAUUCCGGUAGACGAUGGGGAUGCGUUCCAUUAGAUAGUAGGCGGGGUAACGGCCCACCUAGUCUUCGAUGGGUAGGGGUUCUGAGAGGAAGGUCCCCCACAUUGGAACUGAGACACGGUCCAAACUCCUACGGGAGGCAGCAGUGAGGAAUAUUGGUCAAUGGGCGAGAGCCUGAACCAGCCAAGUAGCGUGAAGGAUGACUGCCCUAUGGGUUGUAAACUUCUUUUAUAAAGGAAUAAAGUCGGGUAUGGAUACCCGUUUGCAUGUACUUUAUGAAUAAGGAUCGGCUAACUCCGUGCCAGCAGCCGCGGUAAUACGGAGGAUCCGAGCGUUAUCCGGAUUUAUUGGGUUUAAAGGGAGCGUAGAUGGAUGUUUAAGUCAGUUGUGAAAGUUUGCGGCUCAACCGUAAAAUUGCAGUUGAUACUGGAUAUCUUGAGUGCAGUUGAGGCAGGCGGAAUUCGUGGUGUAGCGGUGAAAUGCUUAGAUAUCACGAAGAACUCCGAUUGCGAAGGCAGCCUGCUAAGCUGCAACUGACAUUGAGGCUCGAAAGUGUGGGUAUCAAACAGGAUUAGAUACCCUGGUAGUCCACACGGUAAACGAUGAAUACUCGCUGUUUGCGAUAUACAGCAAGCGGCCAAGCGAAAGCGUUAAGUAUUCCACCUGGGGAGUACGCCGGCAACGGUGAAACUCAAAGGAAUUGACGGGGGCCCGCACAAGCGGAGGAACAUGUGGUUUAAUUCGAUGAUACGCGAGGAACCUUACCCGGGCUUAAAUUGCAGAUGAAUUACGGUGAAAGCCGUAAGCCGCAAGGCAUCUGUGAAGGUGCUGCAUGGUUGUCGUCAGCUCGUGCCGUGAGGUGUCGGCUUAAGUGCCAUAACGAGCGCAACCCUUGUUGUCAGUUACUAACAGGUUCUGCUGAGGACUCUGACAAGACUGCCAUCGUAAGAUGUGAGGAAGGUGGGGAUGACGUCAAAUCAGCACGGCCCUUACGUCCGGGGCUACACACGUGUUACAAUGGGGGGUACAGAGGGCCGCUACCACGCGAGUGGAUGCCAAUCCCCAAAACCUCUCUCAGUUCGGACUGGAGUCUGCAACCCGACUCCACGAAGCUGGAUUCGCUAGUAAUCGCGCAUCAGCCACGGCGCGGUGAAUACGUUCCCGGGCCUUGUACACACCGCCCGUCAAGCCAUGGGAGCCGGGGGUACCUGAAGUGCGUAACCGCGAGGAGCGCCCUAGGGUAAAACUGGUGACUGGGGCUAAG